GGCGGACUGGCAGAAUGGUAAUGCGUAGCUCUCCUAUAAAGGCAGCUCAAGCUAAGAUUGUGGGUUCGAGUCCCACGUUCGUCG
Ascosphaera pollenicola is the source of this 84-nucleotide non-coding RNA. NCBI's taxonomy places the organism in Eukaryota, Fungi, Ascomycota, Eurotiomycetes, Onygenales, Ascosphaeraceae. The record is from the annotation of a GenBank genome assembly.